CUGAUUCAGAUCAACUGGUCUAAAUGUGUGUGUCCCUGUGUGUGCCUGGGGGAAGGAGGCUGCCCUAAAAAGCCUGAGCUGAAGGGAAAGCAGCGCUGUGCAGCAUGGCCAGAGGGACUCAGGUUGUGCACUGGAGGUGUGUGAGAUGCAUGAACAGCUCAGAAAUCCGCUAGAGAGACGCAAACAAUUUCUGAAUCAGUUUGCAAACUCUGUUUUUAAACUUAAGAUGAGUGAUUCCGGAUGGCACUCGUUGCAGCCGUGCCCUAACCUUUGCUUGUGGAAUACUGUGCGUUGUAGGAACUGCUCCAGUACCUCAGCAAAGAUGGUCUGUUGCAUCUUUGGCGCUUGUGUUUAACACUGGGGAGACUCUGCUGUGUGGACUGCUUUGCAGAUGUUAUUGCAGUAUUCUCCAAUCAGCAGCUUGACGCCUGAAAUGUUACUUGGUGGUUGUUUUCUUUUCCCCUUUGCAACGAUCUGAAGUUCUGAUGUAGUUUAGCUCAGAGAUGGAAAACAAAACAAAAACGCAAGCAGAGGAGCCAGCGUUUUCACCUCUUCAUCCAAUCUGAAAGCUUUGGGUUUUCUUUAAUUAAAAUCAGUGCAAGGCUCCCAGGGAGGCAGCAGCCCCCUCCCCCAUCCAUGUCGUGUGCUCCGUGCUUCUUCCUGGGGUGCAGCGCUGAAAUGGCACAGCUUCAUUUUGCCUGCACCCCGUCCUCCCAGCCCGUGGGCUUCAGAGGGGUUGAAGAGAUCGGUGUGGUACGAUGCCAGGCUUCCCACAGACGCUCCCUGCAGCCAUCCCUUGCCUGGCUCGGGGACAGGCUGGCACUGCUCUGCUCCCCAUGCUGCCCUCGUGCUUCAGAAGAGCGUGCACUGCACGUGAGCUGUAGCCUGCACAGCGUGCACCGCCAUAGGUCCUGGAAUGAUGCUGUUAUGGUCCCCAGGGGAAGGGCCCGUUGCACUGCCAGCUGCCCUGCCCCGCUCACCCUCUUCAUGUGCCAUUUCUUGAGAGGCAAUAAAUUGUAUUGUACCACUGUCUACCAUUACUCUGUUCAAUACGCACAUCUCUGGAUAUAUAUAUAUAUAUGGUAUCUCCCUUGUAUAUAUUUCUAUACUCUGUGUGUGUGGGUGUGCACGCACCCAAGUCCUGCUGUGCAGUUCUGCCAGGGCACUUCAGUUCUGCUGUUCUGUAGCACUCUCUGCUCGUGGGCCCUGCGGGGCUCUCUGAGGACAAGGGCACGACGCGUGCUGGGGCUGGGCGCAGCCAGAAGCCCUUCCUUAACAGUGCCCUGUUCAUCAUUGCUUUUGUUUUGCAGGGAGCAGGAGGGCAGGAUAGCUGCUAGCAGUGUGUUGGAAAGCUCCCGGAGGGUACCGGCAAGUCGGAGGGCUGCAGAGAAGAAAACCAAGUGGUGUGGUGGUAGGGAAGCACAGAGCUGCUGAGGGGCGGUGAGCAGCAGGUGGGUGUGCAGGCUCAGCUCGGUCCCAGCAGCAUCACUGUGGGCUCCAACCUUUGGUGCUCCCGAGUUAAAGCUGCCGCUGGCUCCUAGCACUGUGGUUUGUGAUUAGAGCAGGUUUGUGGAGGAUGGCAAGAGAAGUGACAUCGGAUGAUUUGGUGUAUGUGUGCGCAGACCUGCGCAUACGUAUAGAGACAAUUCUGGUGCGUUCCUUGUUCUGCUUAGGCACGUGUGCUUUGUUACUCAAGUCCCGUGAGCAGAGGAUGGCCUUGUUCUCCCCUGGGUGCCAUGCUGGACGGAUGGCCGCCCUCAAGCUGUGAAGCCCUCUUGUCCUGACCUCCUCCUUGGUCCUCUGAGACCCCAACAUCUUAGCGAGACAUCGGGCAGGUAACGGUCUGUGCCAGCUAGCAGAAAGCUACUGUAAUUGCCAGUCGUAGUGCAGCAUGCAUCUAAUCCCUGAGACUGUCGAAGUGACGCUGUAAGGAAUUGUGCUUCUGUAUUGCCGGGGGGAGCGGGGCUCAGCCGGGGGUCGCCGCGCUCCUCCCCCCCUCCGCGCCGUGUGCCGCAGUGUGGGCAGCCCGACGGACGGCGGCGGUGCUCGGAGCGCUCCCGGGGCUGAGCUCAGCGGGUUCCGUUUCUUUGCUGCGGUUUUAACGCCGUCUGAUGACUUCUUUUUUUCUUUCAGCCUCUGUAGAAAUGAGACGUUUUUCCCCUUCUCGGUGCUUUUGGCUUAAGG
This 2184-nucleotide long non-coding RNA is filed under the name Gallus gallus (chicken). RNAcentral's name for it is "long non-coding RNA NONGGAT003507". Lineage: Eukaryota; Metazoa; Chordata; Aves; Galliformes; Phasianidae. The record is from RNAcentral.